This 451-nucleotide ribosomal RNA is filed under the name uncultured Georgenia sp. RNAcentral's name for it is "bacterial SSU rRNA". It matches the Rfam family "Bacterial small subunit ribosomal RNA", at positions 930 to 1382 of the family's 1533-position model. Lineage: Bacteria; Bacillati; Actinomycetota; Actinomycetes; Allobogoriellales; Allobogoriellaceae. The record is from RNAcentral.
CGGCGGAGCAUGCGGAUUAAUUCGAUGCAACGCGAAGAACCUUACCAAGGCUUGACAUACACCGGAAACAUCCAGAGAUGGGUGCCCCGCAAGGUCGGUGUACAGGUGGUGCAUGGUUGUCGUCAGCUCGUGUCGUGAGAUGUUGGGUUAAGUCCCGCAACGAGCGCAACCCUUGUCCUGUGUUGCCAGCGGGUUAUGCCGGGGACUCAUGGGAGACUGCCGGGGUCAACUCGGAGGAAGGUGGGGAUGACGUCAAAUCAUCAUGCCCCUUAUGUCUUGGGCUUCACGCAUGCUACAAUGGCCGGUACAAAGGGUUGCGAUGCCGCGAGGUGGAGCGAAUCCCAAAAAGCCGGUCUCAGUUCGGAUUGGGGUCUGCAACUCGACCCCAUGAAGUCGGAGUCGCUAGUAAUCGCAGAUCAGCAACGCUGCGGUGAAUACGUUCUCGGGCCUU